ACUUAGGCUUCACUAGAAGCCACCAAACAAUUUUCCCACAGGGGUC
This is a non-coding RNA of Toxoplasma gondii VEG, 46 nucleotides long. Lineage: Eukaryota; Apicomplexa; Conoidasida; Eucoccidiorida; Sarcocystidae. The record is from Rfam.